This 701-nucleotide long non-coding RNA is filed under the name Neogale vison (American mink). RNAcentral's name for it is "Neovison vison (American mink) lncRNA (ENSNVIG00000000580.1)". Lineage: Eukaryota; Metazoa; Chordata; Mammalia; Carnivora; Mustelidae. The record is from RNAcentral.
AACCCACCAGCUUUUGGCACCAACUGAUACUGUUACUGUUAUGAACUUGGGGACCAAAUCCUGGCUAUAUAAUGAACUGUAGGACCAAUGAUCCAAGGCAAUUUUACCACUAAAAAAGCUCUAUCAUUGUAGGUCUGUGCUUCCCUGCUAACCAGCCCUCUGUCCCUCAAGACAUUUAUGAUCUGUUCCAACAACUGAAAAAUGGGGAGUUAGAGUACACAAUAUAUGAAAGCUUAUAUUCCUCCUGCCAUAAAUGUCUACUUUAGAACCAAGAUCUGAAGAGAAUAAUCAUCUUUACCUCUACUCUGCUUGCGUCUACCUUGGCCCUACAUUGAGCAAAUUCCAUCGAUAACAGUUGCUUUGACGGAAGACUGUAGAGGUUAUAAGCCAGUGAGUAGAGAAGCCCUUUGAGGAACUGUAAUUAAUGAGGGAAGCCAAACACAGACAGAUAUGCUAUGUCCCGGCAAGGGAAGUAUCCAAUGGCCAGCCUUCAGAGUACAGUCAGUGUGAUGUUUUGCCUGGAGACUGCUGUUAUCCCAAAUGAGAAGGAAUGUGUGGUACUAUUAGAAAUGAAUACAUCAAGCUAUAGUCAAACACCAGGAGAUAAAUGGGUAAGUAUGAGAAUUUUUCAAAGACAUGUCAUUGCAUUAGAAUAAUACCUGGGUGCUCAAAUGGCAAAGGAGACCCUGGCAGAAGACCCC